Molecule: non-coding RNA, 28 nt
Filed under: Bombyx mori (domestic silkworm)
Lineage: Eukaryota; Metazoa; Arthropoda; Insecta; Lepidoptera; Bombycidae
Source: RNAcentral
UGCUUGCUUGCUGGAGCCCGAAGUCAUC